This 511-nucleotide ribosomal RNA is filed under the name uncultured Nesterenkonia sp. RNAcentral describes it as "bacterial SSU rRNA". It matches the Rfam family "Bacterial small subunit ribosomal RNA", at positions 1 to 526 of the family's 1533-position model. The record is from RNAcentral. Lineage: Bacteria; Bacillati; Actinomycetota; Actinomycetes; Micrococcales; Micrococcaceae.
UAGGGUUUUGAUCCUGGCUCAGGACGAACGCUGGGCGGCGUGCUUAACACAUGCAAGUCGAACGAGGUCCACUGAGUAGCAAUACAAGGGAAGACCUAGUGGCGAACGGGUGAGUAUCACGUGAGAAACCAACCCCGGUCUCUGGGAUAACAGUUGGAAACGACUGCUAAUACUGGAUGUCGUCGUACCCUCGCAUGGGGGGAUGACGAAAGGGUUACCGGAUCGGGACGGUCUCGCGGCCUAUCAGCUUGUUGGGGAGGUAACGGCUCACCAAGGCUUCGACGGGUAGCUGGUCUGAGAGGAUGAUCAGCCACACUGGGACUGAGACACGGCCCAGACUCCUACGGGAGGCAGCAGUGGGGAAUCUUGCGCAAUGGGCGAAAGCCUGACGCAGCAACGCCGCGUGCGGGAUGAAGGCCUUCGGGUUGUAAACCGCUUUUAACAGGAACGAAAAUGACGGUACCUGUAGAAUAAGGUGCGGCCAACUACGUGCCAGCCGCCGCGGUAAUUC